Molecule: non-coding RNA, 927 nt
Filed under: Niceforonia brunnea
Lineage: Eukaryota; Metazoa; Chordata; Amphibia; Anura; Strabomantidae
Description: Hypodactylus brunneus partial 12S ribosomal RNA
Rfam family: Bacterial small subunit ribosomal RNA
Source: RNAcentral
AAGGUUGGUCCUAGCCUUAAAAUCAAUUUUUACUUAACCUACACAUGCAAGUUUCCGCACCCCCGUGAAAAUGCCCUUUAACCUUUCCAGGAAAAAGGAGCCGGUAUCAGGCGCUAUUCUUAAGCCCAUCACACCUAGCUUCGCCACACCCUCAAGGGGACCCAGCAGUGACCAACAUUAAAAAUAAACGUCAGUUUGAUCUAGUUAGAGUAAAUAGAGCCGGCAAAUCUGGUGCCAGCCGCCGCGGUUACACCACGCGACUCAAAUUGAUCUGAGCCGGCGUAAAGCGUGAUUAAGCACCCUAAUAUUAGAAUUAAACUUAAACUAGGCUGUAGCACGCUUGUUCCUAAGAAACACAAAUACGAAAGUUAUUCUAAUUAACCUCAUCUGAACUCACGACAACUAGAACACAAACUAGGAUUAGAUACCCUACUAUGCCUAGUCGUAAACUUUAACUUACACCCACAACGCCUGGGAACUACAAGCUAAGCUUAAAACCCAAAGGACUUGACGGUGCUCCACAUCCCCCUAGAGGAGCCUGUCCUAUAAUCGAUAAUCCCCGCUAAACCUCACCACUUUUUGCCUCUCAGCCUGUAUACUUCCGUCGUCAGCUCACCCCAUCAGGGACACUCAGUGAGCUCAAUGUCUGUACAUCAAUACGUCAGGUCUAAGUGCAGCAAAUAAAGUGGGAAGAGAUGGGCUACACUCUCUAAACUAGAAAAAACAAAAACUCUGAAUGAAACCCAGAGAAUAAGGUGGAUUUAGUAGUAAAAAGAAAACAUAAUGUCCUUUUUAAUCAGGUUCUGGAGUGUGUACACACCGCCCGUCACCCUCUUCAAAGCUCUACCCCUAGUACUUAACAAAUUUCUCUGCAAAAGAAGAGGCAAGUCGUAACAUGGUAAGCAUACCGGAAGGUGUGCUUGGAAA